Molecule: long non-coding RNA, 703 nt
Filed under: Oryza sativa Indica Group (long-grained rice)
Lineage: Eukaryota; Viridiplantae; Streptophyta; Magnoliopsida; Poales; Poaceae
Description: lncRNA OsMH63_12G011320
Source: RNAcentral
ACUAAAACUUUAUGUGCACAGUCAUAACUCCCACACUGUCUUUUUUUUUUUUGCAAAACAGGGUGGUCUUCCUCUGCUCCAAAACACUUAUGGCAGUUUCAUGCAGCUAUUGCAAGCUCCUAUUGAAUCAGAGAGUGCUCUAUAUUUGACAUCCAAUAGAUUUGAGUAUGACAACACCUUUUGGGGUUUUGAUCCUCACAAUGGUUAUCAACAAAAUGACCUGCAAAAUGCACAAACAGACACCUCUCAGAUGUGCAACUCUUUGCCACAAAGUGUAGCUGUGCAUCCUCCUAUGGCAUCACUGGACAUGCUAUAUGAUGAAAUGCAGAAAUCAAGCGCUGAUGUUGAUAAUCAAGCUGAGAUGUGCAGGCCAACAGUACAAUUGAAAGCAUCAUCUGUAGAAAUAGAACAAGAUAAAAGUGCAGAAAAUCCAGAUCAAAAUUUUAGUGAGGAAGAUAUAAACAUAUUUCUGGAGAAUGAAAGUGUAGCAGUUGUUCAGAGAGGUGGUCAGGAUGCUAAAAGUGCACAUGUGCCGUCAAUCAACAAAGUUUUUGCUGAUGAAAAUGAAGCUUUUGACUUCUACAAUGGUUAUGCUUAUAUGGAUGCGGCGGCGACAACUUGUGGUGUAGCUUCUGUUGGUGCUCAAACUGGUAUAUUGAUGGGUCCUAGUGGUGUUGGUAUUGAUGCUGAGAGCACAAACUGA